This 72-nucleotide transfer RNA is filed under the name Camelus bactrianus (Bactrian camel). It matches the Rfam family "tRNA". From Rfam's summary of the family: Transfer RNA (tRNA) molecules are approximately 80 nucleotides in length. RNAcentral also lists the same sequence under 1 other name. The record is from Rfam by way of RNAcentral. Lineage: Eukaryota; Metazoa; Chordata; Mammalia; Artiodactyla; Camelidae.
GUGGGUAGAGCUCAGUGGCAGAGUGUGUGCCUAGCAUCCAUGAAAUCCUGAGUUCAAUCCCCAGUACCUCUA